RNAcentral lists this long non-coding RNA (4200 nucleotides) under Mustela putorius furo (domestic ferret). Its description in RNAcentral is "lncRNA (ENSMPUG00000027473.1)". Lineage: Eukaryota; Metazoa; Chordata; Mammalia; Carnivora; Mustelidae. The record is from RNAcentral.
AUGCCUGGUGCUGUCCCCCAGGGCCAGGGAGGAGUCAGGAGUGGGGGUGAGCCCCAGAAAAACCAGACUGGAGGGUCACAGCUGACCCCAAGCCCAAGGCUUCCUGGAUUCCCUGGCAGAGGAAUGAGCAACAUGAAAGGGAAAUUCCUCCAGGAAAAGAAAACAUUUUUGAGGGUUGUGUUUUUUGUUUUUUGGGUCUUUUUUUUUUUUUUUAAGAUUUUAUUUAUUUAUUUAUUUGACAGACAGAGAUCACAAGCAGGCAGAGAGAGAGGAAGGGAAGCAGGCUCCGUGCUGAGCAGAGAGCCUGCUGCAGGGCUCGAUCCCAGGACCCUGGGAUCAUGACCUGAGCCGAAGGCAGAGGCUUUAACCCACUGAGCCACCCAGGUGCCCCGCAGGUGAAGACAAGUCUUACCCUUUCUGCAGCCUAGCUCUGAAUCUAGAAUUUACUUAUCAAAUGUCUGCCAUGUUCCGUGGCACGUCCCUGCCAGCAUAUCUGUGUGCCCUCUCCCCAGCCAACAUGGUGGAUUCUCAAAGAGGAUCCAUCUUCCUUUAGGGGAGUUGGAUGGCCUGAAUCUCUCCCAGCUUCCUAGCUUGUAGGUUGCUCCAUCGCUCCCUCCCACAGACCAGGACACAGGGGGCGCGGCAUUUUCUCCAGAAGGGCCCCAGUCAUAAUGCACCUUUGUAUGAAGAGGCAACCUUUGCACUGGCUCCAAUUAGUAUUUUCAGAAAUCCGUUUAUCAGAUUAACUAGCUGGCACUGACAUGCAGAACCUGACCCUGGGACAGAGAUAGAGGCAAACUAAGGUGGGGUGGUGAGCAGGUGGCAGAGCAAAGAUCGGGCUGGUGGGGAGCAGCGGGGAGCUGGAUGGGUGCUCUGGGGUAGACGAGGCAGACUGGGGGCAAGACAAGUAAGGGGGCAGGGAUUAAGGCUGGGGCCAUGAAAAUACAUUUCCUGGGACACCCUGGGUAGCUCAGUUGUUGGGCAUCUGCCUUGGGCUCUGGUCAUGAUCCUGGGGUCCUGGGAUCGAGUACCACAUCUGGCUCCUCGGUUGGUGGGGAGCCUGCUUCUCCCUCUCCAACUCCCCCUGCUUGUGUUCCCUCUCUAGCAAAUAAAUAAAUAAAUAAAUCUAAAAAAAAAAGAAAAUACAUUUCCUUUAUUUUACCUAAACGCUUAGAGCCACAGCGUAAGCUAAAAACCAGGAGCAGCAGGAGAAUCUGGCUAGACACCAAGAACAGCCUCAGUCUAUCGUUUUAGGAUUUCAGGUGAUCAUUUCUUUUCUGUCCCCAAUGAUGGCAAUAUCCACAAUUAUACAGCACUUACACCGUGCCAUGGUCUAUGCUUUUUAUUGUGAACUUAAAUCAAUCUAAAAACCAGGGGAGAGAGAUAAAGUAAGUUGCCCAAAUUCCCACAGCCCGACGUGGACAAUGUAGAGUACGGAAUCCAUCAGAACCUGUGCUCAGUCCGCCUGGGUGCUCUCCCCAAAUGCUGGGAGGGCACAGUGAGAUCCUCCCCUCCAGGAUUAGGCAUCCCUUCCCUCCCCCACCAGGGCCUCUGCUCAACCCUUUCACUUUUCCUUUCUGAUUCUAUAGGAGGAAGCAAAAGGGCUAGAAAGCCUGUAGCACUGAGGUGAUUUUUACUUGCCUUCAGGGGCAGUAUAGAGGUGACCAAGAAACAAGCUCUUAAAAAAAUAAGUAAAUAAAAUAAAAGAGAGUGAGAUCCACCCAUUCCCUAAUUGUGUGGUAUUCAAAAGCUCCCUCUGGGGAUGCCUGGGUGGCUCAGUCGGUUAAGCGUCUGCUUGUGGCUCAGGGAUUGAGUCCCGAAUCAGGCUCCUUACUCAGCAGGGACCCUGCUUCACCCUCUGCCUGUGACUCCUUCUGCUUGUGCUCCCCCACUCUCUGAUAAAUAAAUAAAUAAAUAAAUAAAUAAAUAAAUAAAUAAAAUCUUCGGGCGGGGGGGAAGCUCCCUCCAUCUCUCUAUCUGCCCCCCAAUUGCUGAGUUUAAUGUAGCCUUGCAAAUAACCUCUAAGCACCUCCUGAAAUUGAGACAAGUUCGGGCAUUUAAAAAAUAUUUAUUGUAGGGACUUCUGGGUGGCUCAGUUGGUUAAGCAUCCGACUCUUGGUUUCACCUCAGCUUGUGAGCUCAGGGGUCCUGGGAUCGAGCCUUGCAUCAGGCUCCACACUCAGUGGGGAGUCUUCUCCCCACCACCCUCACUCUCGCUUCCUCUGCCCCUCCCCCCAUCUUGUGUGCACACACACUCUCUCUCAAAUAAAUAAAUAAACUAACUAACCAACUCACUAACUUACUGAAUACCUACUGUGUGCCAAGCACUGGUGUAAGUGCCAGAAUAAUUUUUUUUGGCUGAAAGGAUUAUUAUUAUUACUUUUUAAAGAUUUUAUUUAUUUACUUGUCAGAGAGAGAGCGCACGUGUGGGCGCACACAAGCAGAGGGUGUGGCAGGCAGGGAGAGAAGCAGGCUCCCCACUGAGCAGGGAGCCAGAUGUGGGGAUCAAUACCAGGACCAUGGGAUCAUGACCUGAGGUGAGGGCAGAUGCCCAACUGACUAAGCCACCCAGGCGCCCCAGCUGAAAGGUUUAUUACAGUCAACAAGAUGGCAGAACAAUUUGAGGAUCUCCUCAAGCAGAGAUGGAACACAUGUGACUAUGGAGGUGACUCCCUUCCCCUCCUGGGCCCAGGUCUUCCCAAGAAGAGCAGCCAUAGGAACAGGUCGGGAGUGGCUGAUGUCAAAGAUGUCUCUGAAGUAAAAGAUGCUUAAUGGGGGCUUUGGGGUCCCAGAGACUGUGUCACCACAAGAUGUAAGAGGCCUAGAUCCCUGUGUCACCAGUUGGAGGUUGUGAAGUGAGGAAAAGCUGUCUGAUUUGUUGUAACCCUCUUACAAUACAAUCCGUGGUAUUGGGAGAAUGACAGGUGACAGUGCUGGUAUGUUAUGUUUGGUGGAGCUGGGGAAAUGGGCUUCCCCCAGUCUCAGGCUGACCAAUUGGUCAGCCUCAUCCCCAUAGGGUCCAUCUCUUCUGCAGGGUCUCAAAGCAUCUUGUUUGAAUUUCUAUAAUGGCACUUCUACUGGAUGUUCUGGGGUCAGGCUUCUAUUGGGUGGUGAGCUCCUGAAGGGUAGGGCUUCAUGUCAGUCCAUCUCUCAGGUGCUCAAGAAAAUCAGAUGAUUCCAUGGGGAGAGAGGAGGCACAAAGUAGCUUUGGACAGAACAUCUAAAUGGAUGGUGAGAUACCCAUGGGGUCCUACUCCACUAGCAUUUUAUUUAUUUAUUUUUAAAAAAAUUUUUUAAGAUUUUAUUUAUUUAUUUGACAGAGAGAUCAUAAGUAGGCAGAGAGGCAGGCAGAGAGAGAGAGAGGAGGAAGCAGGCUCCCCGCUGAGCGGAGACCCUGACACGGAACUCGAUCCCAGGACCCUGAGAUCAUGACCUGAGCUGAAGGCAGCGGCUUAACCCACUGAGCCACCCAGGCGCCCCUCCACUAGCAUUUUAGAUAAGGGCUUCAAGCUCAGGUAAGACAUUACAGGUGACUUAGGCCAUCCGAAAAGUGCCAAUAUUGAAAACUCUAACAGCAGAAGAAAUCCUGCAGAUCAAGACCACGGUGGCUAGGCACUGUGCUGAGCUCUUUUCAUCGCUAUAUUUUAAAAUUUUCUUUCUUUCUUUUUUUAGGAGCAGAGGAAGAGGAAGAGAGAGAAUCCCAAGCAGACUGCCCGCUGAGCUCAGAGCCCCAUGCAGGGCUCGAUAUCACGACCCCAAGAUCAUUACCUGAGCAAGAACCAAGAGUCAGAUGUUCAACUGAUUGAGCCACCCAGGUGCCCGUCACCAUUGUUUUACUCCAUUCUCAGAGCAACCCCAGGAAGGAAGCAGAGACUCUAGUUAUAUAUUUGGUCACCUACUGGUAAGUUGAGGAGCCAGAACUCAGAUAAAAGCAACAGCGACACAAUGAACAUAAUCAUAAACACAGAGACAUUGAGUUAGUAUUUAUUGAAUACUUAGGAUGCCCUAGAUAAUUUAGUAACUUUUUCUUAGUACUUUUUUAAAAAAAGAUUUUAUUUAUUUAUUUGACAGAGAGAGAGAAGAGGAAGCAGGCUCCCCACUGAGCAGAGAGCCUGAUACAGGGCUCAAUCCCAGGACUCUGGGAUCAUGACCUGAGCCGAAGGCAGAGGCUUAACCCACUGAGACACCCAGGUGCCCAGU